RNAcentral lists this ribosomal RNA (301 nucleotides) under uncultured bacterium. RNAcentral describes it as "partial 16S ribosomal RNA". It matches the Rfam family "Bacterial small subunit ribosomal RNA", at positions 509 to 807 of the family's 1533-position model. The record is from RNAcentral.
CAGUCGCCGCGGGAAUACGGAGGGUGCAAGCGUUAAUCGGAAUUACUGGGCGUAAAGCGUGCGCAGGCGGUCUGUUAAGACAGAUGUGAAAUCCCCGGGCUCAACCUGGGAACUGCAUUUGUGACUGGCAAGCUAGAGUGUGGCAGAGGGUGGUGGAAUUCCGCGUGUAGCAGCGAAAUGCGUAGAUAUGCGGAGGAAUACCGAUGGCGAAGGCAGCCACCUGGGCCAACACUGACGCUCAUGCGCGAAAGCGUGGGGAGCAAGCAGGAUUAGAUACCCCAGUAGUCCCUGUCUCUUAUAC